This 911-nucleotide long non-coding RNA is filed under the name Homo sapiens (human). RNAcentral's name for it is "HSALNT0095571". Lineage: Eukaryota; Metazoa; Chordata; Mammalia; Primates; Hominidae. The record is from RNAcentral.
GGCGGGAAAAGAUCUUAACCCGUGAUUGCUGGGACUGGCUCAAGCUCCACCAGGAGCCGUCGUUCUUUUACAAAGAGGGGUGGAGGUUCCAGUGGAGGCUGUUGUUGCCUUUUUUUUUUUUUUUUUAAUGAAUGGAGGGCGGCGGCGACUGCUGCAGCUGGGCCAGCUGCGCGGGCUGCACCCCCUCCCAGCCUGCGAGAGGAGGAAGCUAGUAGAAGAUUUGUACCAACAAAACCAAGGAGUAAACAACUUGAGAAUAACUGCAUGAGCUCAGGGCUUGGACUGUCAGAUUCCAUUUCUAAGCUUCCAGAAGAGCGACACAUAGACACUGGGGAAGUCAGAGCCUUUGAACUCCAAUGCCAUCCCCGUCACCCACCUCCACCACCAGCACCACCACCGAAUGGCACUUUGGACAAUUUUUCCCUCUCAUGUGACUUUUGUCAUUUCUUACGUCAGUUGGAGCCAGCACCUCUCAAAUCCAUCUUCUAAAACCCAGAAAAUUGUGUGUAACACAUGAUGACUGAAAGGGAGUAGGCUGACCAGUUAAGAGCCUGCCACUGGAAUGGAAGGCUGUGGGAAGGUGAGGGGACGGUGGACAUCAACCGGGAAGAGCUGAAAGAUGGCGUUACCAGAACAACUUCCAGUAAAAGAAGGCACUGAGGUUUAAGUGCUACGUGGGAGCAGUUGCCGAUUUUUGCAAUGGGAGGCUGCAUAGAUUCAAGGUGGAACCAUCUAGUUGCAGGAAAACAAGCUCAGGGCUCCUGUUGAUUCUAUAUUAUGUGUGAGAAUUCGAAGAGAUUCAAAGACUAUAUCACCACCAUGGUCUUGCCAGAAUCUGCCCUCUGAGUCAUUUCUUAAUCUACUGAUUAUCUGUAGAACCAGCCUUAUAUAAACAAGGAAGCAUCUAGCAG